UACAGAGGGGGCAAGCGUUGUUCGGAAUUACUGGGCGUAAAGGGCGCGUAGGCGGCCACCUAAGUCAGACGUGAAAUCCCUCGGCUCAACCGGGGAACUGCGUCUGAUACUGGGCGGCUUGAAUUCGGGAGAGGAAUGCGGAAUUCCAGGUGUAGCGGUGAAAUGCGUAGAUAUCAGGAAGAACACCUAUGGCGAAGGCAGCUCUCUGGGACGGUACUGACGCUGAGGUGCGAAAGCGUGGGGAGCAAACAGG
Molecule: ribosomal RNA, 253 nt
Filed under: uncultured bacterium
Lineage: Bacteria
Description: partial 16S ribosomal RNA
Rfam family: Bacterial small subunit ribosomal RNA
Source: RNAcentral